AAUCAACGCUGGCGGCGUGCCUCAGACAUGCAAGUCGAACGAUUAAAGCUCUCUUCGGAGAGUGUAUAGAGUGGCGCACGGGUGAGUAACACGUAAGUAAUCUACCCUCGAGUGGGGAAUAACGUUCGGAAACGAACGCUAAUACCGCAUAAUGCAGCGGCAUCGCAAGAUGACAGUUGUUAAAGGAGUAAUUCGCUUGA
This 200-nucleotide ribosomal RNA is filed under the name uncultured bacterium. RNAcentral describes it as "partial 16S ribosomal RNA". It matches the Rfam family "Bacterial small subunit ribosomal RNA", at positions 32 to 222 of the family's 1533-position model. The record is from RNAcentral.